RNAcentral lists this ribosomal RNA (465 nucleotides) under uncultured bacterium. RNAcentral's name for it is "bacterial SSU rRNA". It matches the Rfam family "Bacterial small subunit ribosomal RNA", at positions 916 to 1392 of the family's 1533-position model. The record is from RNAcentral.
GCGCCCCGGGCGGGGCGGGGGCACGGGGGGAACGCGAAGAACCUUACCUACUCUUGACAUCCAGAGAACUUUCCAGAGAUGGAUUGGUGCCUUCGGGAACUCUGAGACAGGUGCUGCAUGGCUGUCGUCAGCUCGUGUUGUGAAAUGUUGGGUUAAGUCCCGCAACGAGCGCAACCCUUAUCCUUUGUUGCCAGCGCGUGAUGGCGGGAACUCAAAGGAGACUGCCGGUGAUAAACCGGAGGAAGGUGGGGAUGACGUCAAGUCAUCAUGGCCCUUACGAGUAGGGCUACACACGUGCUACAAUGGCGUAUACAAAGGGAAGCGAUCCUGCGAAGGCAAGCGGAACUCAUAAAGUACGUCGUAGUCCGGAUUGGAGUCUGCAACUCGACUCCAUGAAGUCGGAAUCGCUAGUAAUCGUAGAUCAGAAUGCUGCGGUGAAUACGUUCCCGGGCCUUGUACACACCG